AUGCCUUUGAGCUCUGCAAUAUAUAUCAUGGAGAUGGUAUCAACUGUGCUCCACGACUGGAUUUCUUCUGUUGUGAUAAAGGCGGAUUUAAUUGCCAACUCUCUACGGAUAUGAAGCACGAAUCCCGGCUAUGCUAAUGGACAAUUGUUGAAAAAGACGCGGAACAGGAAAAACUCUGGUCAGUCGACAGAUAGAAGUUAUUAGUCGUCCGAUACGUGCACACUGCAGGAACGGAAAAACGUCACACUGGACAGUCAACCGAUGAAUCCAUAUCGAUCGACCGAUGAAGACCUACUGGUCGACUGAUGGCUUCCUAUCAGUCAAUCAAUAGCGGGCAAAAUAGAUAUAUUUGUUUCCCAGUCUGUUUUAGUUUAGAGUUUUAUAUAUUAAAGGCACGUUUUGUUAGGGGUUUAUCAUCAGAGAGAGGGUUAUUAUCAGAUACUUUUGAGCACUUUGAGAGGGAGAAUUUUGAUGGUGAGUGAGAUCUUGUUGGUUAGGGUUAUUGUGAUUGUUUGCGAGUUGUAAUCCAUUGUAUUUAUUCUCCAUAUAGUAAAAUCUCCCCAUCCUCUUUCUGUGGA
This is a long non-coding RNA of Asparagus officinalis (garden asparagus), 578 nucleotides long. RefSeq lists it as uncharacterized. The transcript has 2 exons. NCBI's taxonomy places the organism in Eukaryota, Viridiplantae, Streptophyta, Magnoliopsida, Asparagales, Asparagaceae. The record is from RefSeq and is a predicted model, not a curated record.